AUACGUAGGGGGCGAGCGUUGUCCGGAAUGAUUGGGCGUAAAGGGCGCGUAGGCGGCCCGGUAAGUCUGGAGUGAAAGUCCUGUUUUUAAGAUGGGAAUUGCUUUGGAUACUGUAGGGCUUGAGUGCAGGAGAGGUAAGUGGAAUUCCCAGUGUAGCGGUGAAAUGCGUAGAGAUUGGGAGGAACACCAGUGGCGAAGGCGACUUACUGGACUGUAACUGACGCUGAGGCGCGAAAGUGUGGGGAGCAAACAGGAUUAGAUACCCUGGUAGUCCACACUGUAAACGAUGAAUGCUAGGUGUAGGGGGUAUCGACCCCUUCUGUGCCGCAGUCAACACAAUAAGCAUUCCGCCUGGGGAGUACGGCCGCAAGGUUGAAACUCAAAUGAAUUGACGGGG
RNAcentral lists this ribosomal RNA (397 nucleotides) under uncultured bacterium. RNAcentral's name for it is "partial 16S ribosomal RNA". It matches the Rfam family "Bacterial small subunit ribosomal RNA", at positions 523 to 918 of the family's 1533-position model. The record is from RNAcentral.